This is a long non-coding RNA of Solenopsis invicta (red fire ant), 11947 nucleotides long. RefSeq lists it as uncharacterized. NCBI's taxonomy places the organism in Eukaryota, Metazoa, Arthropoda, Insecta, Hymenoptera, Formicidae. The record is from RefSeq and is a predicted model, not a curated record. The transcript has 2 exons.
CAUUUUUUUUUAAUGUAAUUUUUUAUUUUAUUUAUUCAAAAUAAAUAUAUAUGUUUUCAAAAUAGAAAUACAUCAUACAUCUGUCUCUUUAAACAAACGUUUUACAUAAUGUUGAAAAAUUUCUUAUCAUUUUUAAUUCGUCCUAUAAUCCCUUAAGAACAGCCUGGUAAUUCCUAUAUGUCCACGUGCGAUUAAAGCGUUGCGUAAUUUCCAAUGAUGGACUUGUGCCGAUAAGAACUAACCGAAGCUACGGUUCUCAGAAUCGACACGCAAAUGUGGACGCGCGAUCUGGUACAUCGCAUGGUACGGCAAUAACAUCGUUGGUUAACCAGCAAAGAGCAGUAUCACGCUCGGUUUUAACACUCAUGAUCGGUCGGUCUGCGCGCACGCGAACUCGGAUCGAAAAUGCGUUGCUCGACGUGAGAGACGUCAUAUGCCUGCAUAUUAUAUGUAUUGAACCGAUGAUCACCGGGCUGUCUUUCCGAGCGCGACUGACUCUCAAUAUAGUGACUUUUAUAAUCCUUUACAAGUCGCUGCUCUUGAUAGUUCAUUUUUGCGCCCGAAGAAGCGAUGUCAGCUGUGUGAGAAGAUAAAACAUAGCUUCAAAGUGUAAAACAGAAGUGCUUCUAUGCUUUUUGAUUUCCAUAAAAAACCAGCUUUCAACAGUGAAACUCUUUAGUAGACACAUGCAAACAAAUAUAGUCACAAUAACGAUCGUGUCGAUUGUUAGUUGUUUGACAUGUGCGUCUUUUUAAUAGAUGUACAGUUUACUUAAAAUUAAAUUAGUGUACAUUUCUUGGUAAGGUAAAACGUACGAAGUACUGUCAAUUAAUGAUUAAUUAAGCAAUGUGUAAUUAUAUUAGCAACAGUAAAUUAGGUUGAUGUAGAUGCUUUAUCGUUGAGGCUUCAGAUAUUGCAUUCGCGUGAACAUGAAUAACCAUUUAAUUCACAUAAUUAGCAAACAUCAAUUAAUUAAUUAAUUACAUACCGCCUGAAGGGACGAUGUGUUUAAAAAUAUCUCAUAUGUAUACGUAAAUAAUGAUGCCACAGGGAGGAUCGCCACCGUCCUUCCGCACACGUGCAAGAAAAUAAAAAUCUAUGAGCCGAGGAAACGUUUCCCACCAAAUUACGGUUAAUUAAGGAAGUUCUGAAAGUGAGGGUCGCAAGCAGGCGUUUGCACACAGAUUCUGAUAUGUGCAAAUAAAUAUCUAGAUAAAAAGAAAUAUGUGGAAAAAUUACAAGACAAAAAUAAAUCUACGUCAGAUUUACAAGAUUCGUUAAUUCUUAAAUCCGUCGUUAGAUUCGUGUUAAAAGGCAAUAUUUCAUGGCGGUGGUAGACAUCGCGCGUUAUCUUUUAUCAGGUGUCUCGGAUAGCGUUAGUUUAUUAGUAAAACGAUUAUGAAGGUACGUUAUGGCACAAUGUCUGCACGCGGCAUCUUAAACAUAUAUAAUUAAACAUAAAUCUAUGUGCCAGCAAAUGUAUAUGAAAUGGAGAACCAAGAUAGUGCAAUAGCCUACACAAGUGUGCAUACAUUAUGAUCUUGAAGUAUAUUGUAAUUCAUUAAUCUUACCUCAAACCUUUUGUGCAGCUAAUUUGUACAUUAUUUGCGAGUAAAAUGUAAGAGUUAAAAAAUUUUAAAUUAAGAUUAAAAUUAGUAUAAAUUUUCAUGAAGUUUUACAAUUUACGGAAAAUUGAAAUUAACUUGGAUGUGUUCAGGUUCUAAAGAUAGAUUUUCAAUUUAGAUUUAAAUGUAAAACUAAAUUAUUAUUUAUUAAAUUUUUGCAUGAAACUGCUUACGCUGAAAGAGAAAAUAUCAUUUUUGGCAUACGGAUCAAUACAAUAAUCAAAAUAACAUUUUUUUAAACAGUCUAUUAAUAAUCGGCAUUGUAAGUGACAUUCACAUUCAUACACAUCACCUAAAUGCAUAAGUAUCGUAUGCAGACCCGUGCCAGUGUUCGCCGAUUAUAUCGCCGAUAUGAGUCAUGGCGUUUAACUGAGAUUACGGCAAUUUAUCAAGGCUGCCAUGUACUCUCGUUAUAAAUCGGGCAGUGCUUGACACGUCGCCUCAGACUGGCGUCAUUGACUUUUACAUAGACGUUCUUGCGAGACUCUUCUCAUAUUGUAAGAUGAAUAAAAAAAUUAAAAAGUUUUAUUCGCUGAAGUUACUAUAAGCUAUAGAAAACUAUAUCCGUUCGUUGCACACUACUAUGAAUAGAAGAGACAUCUUAUAAUUUAUAAUACAAAUAUAACGUCAAUCGAAGCAGUAAUAUCUCUUUUAUAUUCUAUGACUGGCUUUAUACACUGCACUUGGGUAUUUUCAGUUUUAUACAAUAAAACUGUCUAAGUAUCAUAUAUUUAGAAAAAAAUGCUAUGAUAUGAAUUAAAACGUAGUUUCAUUCAAUUAAACGUAGAAUUAUAGGCUGUCACUAAUAUAUUAUGUAGUUCAUUCAACUAAACUUUAUUCAUUCAACUAUAUGUUAUUGUCUUUACUUUUAAUUUUUUUGUUUUAUUAAUACAGCUUCUGAAUUAACAAAAUAUUUCCAAUUAGACUGAUGCUGUUGAUUCAGCAUUUUUUUCUUUGUGUACGCUCUUAUCUACGAAUUAAUCAUGAAAAUAACAAUAAUCAUGCAACAAUUUAUAACAACAGAAAGAGAGGGAAAGAUGAACUCGAUGCAACUGUGCGCUGUUGCGCAGCGCAAUGACCCAGUCAUUCUCUUUCUUUUCGUCCCCGUGAUUAUAUAGAGUGGCACGACACACGCAGAUGGCCGUCUCGAUAAUUUACAGAAUAAAUAAACCGACGGAAAAACGAAGACGAAGACACCUUAGGGGGUUGCGUAUCUACCUACCUACCUACCUACCGUCCGUCAGCAGGCGCCCGGCGUUUUUCACGAAUAUUAAAUCGGCUCGUGGAAUCGCCAUCCCGCCGCCGCGUCGCCGCCGUGCAACGACGCUGCUAGAUGCGUAUCGAGAUGCAUAUCGGGGUGAUCGCGCGAACGAAAUGGCGCUCCCGAACCAAUUAUCCCUCUCUCGAAUAUCCACAACGGGGUACCGAUCGCUCCGGGCGGCCGAGAUGCAGAUGAUGCGCCGCGCCGCUGGUGUGCUCGUUGAAUAUCGGCCGCGACGCGGCAUAUGAAUGGAGGAGGGUACGCACCGCGCCGAGACGUGCGCGCGUGUGCGUAAGAUAAUUGCUCGUGCGAUUUUGCGUAAUGCGGUAGAUACAAGAUUGCGAAAUCUCGAGAUCAGAGAAGCGCCUCGCGCGGAGCGCGACAGUGCGCAGCUGAGCGCACCCCCUGUCCCGUAAAUCAAGGGCGCGCGCUACUUGUAAUAAUUCCUCGAUGCUAAUUACGUGCCGCAUAAAGUUAAUCUCGAUACGAUGAUAAGACAGCAAUAACGAUAACUUGAUAGUCAUGCUUCAGGGGUGUCAUAGCGAAAAGGGCGAACGCGCAACGACUAUCGUCUAUUCCUAUCUUGAUGAAGCUCUUACAAAAAUAAUUCUAAUAACCGGUAAUAAGUAGUAAAAUAUCAUGUUGCGCGUAUUUUGAAUAAAAAUACAUAUAAAAAUACAUAUAAAAAUAAUUUUAUACUCAACAUGAUUUUUUCUCUCUCUCUCUCUCUCUCUCUCUCAAAUAAAAAGAUGAAUUUAGUAUAUUUUUGCAUACCUGACUCAUUCUUUUUAUUGAACAUUUGGCUGCCAACGCCGGAUGCAGAGAGUAGUUUAUAGUCAUUGAAAGCAAGAAGAUCGACAUAGUCGGAUUCAGACGGGGACUUGUGGGAGAUGGCAAGGGAGGUACUCGAAGACGGCUGUUCGAGCGCAACCUUCGCCCCCGGCGGGACCGCGGCCGGCGAGAUGUACGUUGAACAACACGAGGUAUCGCGAAGGAGCAGAAAUGUACGCAGGGGAAUGAAGGGAGAGGAGUACGCUCUCGGAGAAAGAGUAAAGCGGCGGUGGGCUGUACACGGGUAUAAUUACAGAGGGCAGAGCAGUGGCUAGACCCACUGCAGCAACUUACCGUUGCCCAAGGCGCCAGCAUAUACGAAAUCGACCGGAGCCCCGAUCCCGCUGCGACUCGGUCCUAAUUCGUAUUCGUGCCCCGGGUGUAGCAGAUAGGAUACGCCUCGAAAAACGGCGGAAGGACUGGCAGGAAUCUCCCGCACUACGCCCUUCUUUCUGUUCGCCGCGCGUUCUUUCUUCUUCACUUCUUCUUCUUCUUUGCAAUGCAGAUCUCGAUGGGGUGAACAAGAGUCUUUUGUAGGGUAAAGUAACGUCUUUGUAAGUGAAAGGCACAAGGAAGUUCAAGGAGAGGAAAUAAUAAUGUAGCAGAUCUUGGAUCGAUUAAUAGUUAUUUUUUUCAUAUUUUUUGAAUAUUUCAGUGUAAUAUGUAUUAUGUGUCGUAUGUGCUGCACAGCGGCAGUUCACGCAUAUGUAAUUAUUUUACUGUUCCAUCGAUUUAAGCGUUACCAGGUUUAAUCGUAUCGCAUAACUGAUCGCAAAGCGUAAAUCUGCACUGUUUCUCUUAUAUACCGUGUAUGGGCAAACCAUGUUGAAGUCGAUUGAUAUUUUUCUUUUGGUGCGCAAUGCCAAGGUAGGCUCGACCUUAUAUCUACGUGCUUUUAUUCUCACUCCGGCUUAAUACGCGCGAACGAGAGUGGUGACUCCGAAUCCUCUAAUUUUGGUUGGCCGCGGCCACCGAUAAUUAACGAACUAUAAUCAGUGGACCGCUCCACGUAACGCAACGUAACGAAACGUAACCUGGCGCCUUUCGGGCCCCGGCUGGCUGGGCUGCAUUAAGCUCUCUGCACACCGGUAUAAUUGUGCGUAUACAGGCACAUAAGAACAAUUUAUCAGAUGUCACUAAUUAGAUUAUGAUGAGGCCAGUCUACCGCCCAGUCACUAAUACUGAAUGGGAAGCUUCAAGUUUUACGCCCGCAAAACAGUCGUCUAUGCACCGGGUUAACAGCAUGCAACAAAUUGUAUAAGCCGUUGAAUUUCAAUUGUUUUUAGAGAAAAAGAAUUUCAUCAUUAAUAUUUCGUAAUUGAAUUAAUAUUAAAAUAACUUUGCAUUAUUAAGAAUCAUCGAAAAUGAUUAACGUAACCUUCUACCUUUAUGAUUUUUGUGUCUUUGUGAAACGUGAUGUGUGUGAUAAUAACUAUUAAUUUUUCAUACUUCAAAAUUUAUGCGGGAAAUAAAAAUAUCAUUACUUAAAUUAUGAUCUUCCGAGAUACUAAAUCCCAUUUCCUCUUCCUCUGGUACUGCUGGAAUAUAUACUAUGUCCGGCGCAUGAAGGGGCGUUUCUUCAGCGACGGAUGAGAGCAGCCUAAACAUUUCGCUCUUACUAAUUACACGGUGCUGCGGUAUUGCUGCGAACGGGAGCCGAGGGCCUUGCGGCGGUAAAACCGGGUGAGCGACAUUGCGAGCGCGAUCUGCAGAUUCGGGUCGCGUGAGAUGUUUCUUCGCGGUCAUCAGGAGAGAAAUAAUACGUGUGCAUGCGUAUAUACAUAUACACAUGCACGCAAGCAAAGUAUCUACAAUGAUGAAUGACGUGCGCGAGGAAAGCGAUGGAAUUUAUCGCCGGUGGCAUUUUAUAUGCCUGUGACAGAAACUACCGCGAGUGGUUGCGGAGAACCGCCCUUGAUUGGUGUACUAUUUGGUUUAUGGUAGCUGACUUUAACUGUGAUGAAUAAUGUAUCCGUAAAUGCUAAUGAAGUAAGAAAACAUUCUUUUUUAUUGCACCAGUUGACGCUAAACAUCAGUUACAUUACAUCUAUGUUAAAAUUUCGCAUUUAAUAAUGUAAAUGUAAUAUAACAACAUGUAUUAUUGUAUUAUAUUUACAUUGUUGAGUGCAGAAUUUUAACAUAGAUAUAAUGUAACUGAUGCUCGAUUGGGAUAUAGAGGUCUAAAAAGUGUAAUUUUUUUUUUAUUAUGUUAGAAUUCCAACUGCUAAGUAUUCAACUGUGCAAUAUCGCAAAAUACAAUAAUUUUUGCACGUGCAAAUAAUAUAAAACAACAUUAUAUAACAAUAGAUCUUUCUAACAUUAACGAAAGUUAAUAAUUCAAUGUUAAUAACUCAAUGUUAAUCGAUUUAUUUGAGGAAUAAUUCAGAUUCUAUCGAUUUCUUCCAUCUUCUUACAGAUGCUUUUUACCGUAUUUCCUAUUCUUUGUACCUACCUGUUUUUGUGUCCAGCAAUUCUGCAAUAAGUUUAAUAUGUUUAUCUCCCCUAUCUAUUACUUCUUCCAACAAACCCCUAUGUUUGUUCGCCCUCUUUUCCCUCUGCGUGCAUUUCCCUCGAGCAUUCAAGCAACUCCGCUUCUCCUGUUCUUUUAUCGUAAUCACUCUCUGGAAGAAAAUGACAUAGAGCGUAGCUAUUUCGUGCAGUUGUUAAUUUAUCGAGGCUAUUCAUAGGGAUCGAUUCUUCUUUUCUGUUAGACUCCACCAAACUUCUUCCGUACGAAGGUUUCGAAACUGGAUCGGAUAUGGAAGAGCGAUACACAGUGGACGGCUUGGCGCGCACCCCGCAAGCAGAAAUUAUCCACUUUUGCGGUAAUUCGUGGCUUCCGACGCGCAUGCGGCACCGCGCAAGAUGGCCGCUGACUCGCGAGUCCCGAUUGGCGACGACGGGGCGGGUUAUUUGAGCGGCGGUUGGUGGUUCAGCGUUACCCGGCGCGAGUAAUUUUGAUCGUGAUUAUACUAAUUUCAUAGUAUGCCCCUUCUCGGUGGCUUAAAGCAUCGGCCAGGUUCACACGAACGGCGACGCGAGCCAGGAGUAACAGUGCCCGCGAAAUACAGAGCGGUUCGAGGAGUCUUCUCCGCGCUGGUCACAUCCGAUUUCAAAUUUUCAAUACUGAUUGCAACUGCUAUUGGUGGAUAGCGCCAAAUUCGAGGUACGUUUCUCGUAAGAAAUACAAGACGACGUGACGUAACUUGUCUAGACGACAUCAAGUUGAUAGUUUUAUUAAAAUCGAAAACUGAAAAAAAUAGGUGUGUAUUGUACUAUUUUUAAUCGUUUAUUUAAAUUGUACGAAAAUAAUUUUUGGUAGAUGAGUUUGUUUUGCUGUAAUGUUGUUAUAAAUUUAACAAUUGAUUGAUUGUCAAACAUGUGGUUCAGCGCGUAUGAAGCGCAAAUUCCGUGCGGCUCACGUUAUUUUUUUUUCCCUACGAGCGGAAUAGAAGCCGGAACACGAGGAACGCCGAGCGUGCGAAGCAGCCGCUAUUGCUAUUAACGUUGGCUAUAUUGAACCAUAAUUGUCCCGCGUUGUUAGUGCGGUGUAUUCACAAGCGAAAGGCCCCCGUUUCGCCUUCGUCCCUCUGCACGCCCCUCCUCUCAUUCCCUCUCAUUCCCUUUGCGGUUCUCUCCUCGUCACGCGUUGCCGCUAUCCUUCUUCUUCUUUUCGGAAUUCCUUCUCUCGUUCUCCCUCUCUCUUAUUCGUACCCUCGAUACCUCUCCUCUCCUCUCCUCGUGGGCAACAAGCGGAGCAGCGCUGCCGCCGCCACCGUCGCCAUCGCCGUUCUGGUGGGGGCUAAAUUACUACAAUUUUGUACUUUUUAUACCGCGAGGGAAAAAAAGAGGAUAAUUUUUGGUAGAAACGCAACAAUUUUAUCGGCCGUUGUUAUGUGAGAUCAGUUGGUGUCUACUGCCGCUGCGCGUUACACCUGUCUGCUUCGUGCGCUCCGAUCCGCAACGAGACCAACGUGCUCCCGAAUGUCACUUUAAUCAGGGAAUGAUUCCGCGACCUCUUUAGCACCGAGACGCGCGUCGAUAGCCGCCAUCUUGACGACCUUGAGGAAUAAUCUUUGUGGCACCUACCAUGCGUCAACCUGCCUAUCAACCUCGCGAUUGCAUCCGUCGAAAUCGGGACAGGUGACGCAAUGUCAAUCGUAUUAUUUUAUUUCCUGUACGGUGACAUCAGAGUGGAGUGUUCUCACUCGCACGUGCCGUGACGACGCAAUGAGACUCGUGAAAUGUCAACGAAACUUUUAGCUUCAAGACAUGUGCGUGAUUACUCGUGCUACCAAGUGCGUGCAGCGCAGACAGAUGGUCGCCAUUUUGGUAAACGUUCAUCCUUCUCCCACUAGACGUUAUACGCAAUUUUUACAUGUGCAACAGCAUUGCUGUGAUAGUGAAGACUGACCAACUAAGAUUUCUUGUAAAAGUUUCUUUUCUUUCUGCUAAGCUGUUAUUUUGCCAAAGUGCCUCACUUUGGACGUUUGGCAUAAUGGGCAUGUUCACAUGUGAUAAGUUAGCCGGGUGGCGAGGAACUAGUGCUAUGAGAAGGGCAUAACCGUGACGUUUUCCGAAAAUUGUCGCCAGCAUGCGAUGCCGUGCACGCUUCACACAUGGUAUACGACAGGUAUACCAUCACAGGAACGCAAUUCUAUCAAUUUCGUCAUUCUCGAAGGGGCAAAAGAUGCGCGUUCGUUACUUUUGACAGCUGGCCUGCACCAUUACGCCAAUAACACAUCAUCGUCGCGCAACGAGCGGCAACGAUCCGUUUGUUAGAGUAUUCAUGGCAUCAAGUAUAAGGAAAGCGUAAAAUGACACGAGGCAAAUUGCAUCGUUUGGUGGCACUGAAAUUUGCACGAAAAAAUACAGAACGGUCGGCCAAAUAUCGCAAACGCAUGCAUGCGAAAUGGCUUGUAUUGCCUGACAAUUAUUCAGAGAAACGAGCUUCGUAUGACACGCAAUAUGAAUAACACGACAGUGCCAGUUUGCCCGUGGAUCAACAUCAAAUAUCGAAAAACUUACGUAAUUCUCUAGCUUUACAUACAAUUAGCUGCUUUGCUUUACUACUUCUACCAUGGCUAAGACGAUACAACACGUCAUACAUCGUAUGCAUUUGUUUAAUAAUGUCACGAACUUUUACAACCCCGCAAUCCUUAAUUCUUAGUUAAUAUCACGCAAAGCAAUAAGAACUCUAUAAGAUGAUUGUUGAUGGAAUGAAAGUGAUACUAUUGCUAUAUUAUUUUAUGACAUUCAUUCACGUGACUAUAUUGUUCUACUCUUAGAGAUAUCUUCAUAAUAUUUCUAAAAAUUUGUUGUUUUAUGACAUUUUUAUUUGUUAGAUCAAAGUUCCUGUUUAUUUUAUUCCUUUAUCUUGCUGCUGUCAUAUUGUGACUGUAACUAAUGUUCUUUGCUAUACAGAAAGUGUAGAUAUUUUUUUUAUCGUUCUUAAUAGCUACUGAGAAUGUCGAAUAGCAAUGGUGCUUUCUUUCUAGAGCGCUUCAGUUUGCCAUCGGCAUUUUGGCGUUAGGCGAUAAAUCUCGGGGCGAGUGGGCUUUAGGAGCCCUCGCCGUGUUAGAAAAGAAGAAAGUAGAAUGCGAAAACGAGGGAAUGCGCGCUGCCAAUAGAUUUACGAGGCCAUCCGUCUUCGUAGUACGCACUUGAUGCUCACGCUCGCGAUAAAAGCGCAGCUCAUCUACGCGUAUACGUACAUGUGCGGCACGGCACGUAUACAUACGUACGUACGAUUCCAGAGGAACGGUUCGUUAUUAUAACCCAUGAGGCGUAAUUGUUUCCAAGGAACCAACAUGGAGAAGACCUUGCCUGAGAACCCAGAGGUAUUAGCAGUCUUUCUACAGGACGUUUCAGCAAUAGUGCCAGUAGUCACGAUCACUUUGCUCGAUUCUAAUUGUAGUAACAUGAAAGAACUACGUAUUAAAAGAUUUGCAUAUUACUGUGAUGAAGUGAAAAUAGGAGGAUUCGUUUAUCGAAGAUUAUAAAAUACAUUCAUUUAUAUAGAAAUAAAACAGAAAGUUAUUGAUCCAACUCGUGCUUCUUCUAGUUUUAUUAAACUUAAGCUCGAUCUUAAUAAAAUCUUGAAAGAAACGCAAUUUAAGAAAGUUGCACAAAACAAAUUAAAAUGAUUGAUAAAUUGACUACUUAAACUUAUUCAUCGUUUAAUACUUGUGUAACUUAUCAGAAUGUGCAGGAAAGUAUGUUAGCACGAGCUAUAAUUUAAAUUCGACGAAGUUGCAGCUACGAAGCGAUAGCAUAAGUUCUAGACAGACGUGUGAUGGCAAGUACUGCAUUAACAUAACAGAGUGAUAACACGCGGCACGUGAGCCUUAGAAGGAUUUUGUUAAAUUUGAAGGAGAGUUACAAAUAUAAUGUGACGGCUCAGACGGCACCGAUAUUGAUGAGACCUUGCUCGAAAAUGUCGUGAUGUUAGUUGGCUUCCGCGGGAAGCCCGAAUGAUAGUGCCGCUAGUCACGACUACCUCGGUCGAUUGUAAUCUAGCGAGCGCGAAGAAAGCCCACGGUUGUAUUUUUAUCAGAGAUCAUGCAAAGUUGCCUUUUUUUACAGGCGUGCAGCGUCGGAAAUCUACGGCGGCUUAUCGAUGUUGCGACUGCAUUCGAACUCCGUGUAAGGUAAUAACGCCGAAAAUAAUCGGCGAUGAAAUAGACGAUUUGUAAAAUCGCGAUUAAAUUAGGAUAGGUAAACGGCGAUGUUGACAUGUUUGAUCAAAUUUGUUGUCCGUUUAGAACGACGCAAUAAAUUACGAAACUCGACGUAUAAAUCAGCCGCGGUUAAUUUUAUUUGCUUCCAGAUUUGCCCCGCGCGAUGACGACUAAAAGGUACAAGUCUUGUUAAGAGUAUCACAGCUAGAAGAUUAUCCUUGGAAGAGCGUUUCCCGAUCGUGGCGGCUGCAUAAUUAAUCGAAUAAUAUGCAAAUUUCUUUGCGGUAAUAAACGUCGAACUAUUAAUCAAACCGUUAAAUUACCGCCGAGUUUCCAUCGCGAAAAGAUGAAGAAAAACGUGAAUAAAACACGGCCAUUAAUUAUAUAAUAUUAUUCAUUCGAAAAGCAUAUUAUUACUACGCAUUCCGAGCGUGUGCCAUUACGUGAUUAAUUAGAUACUUUAACGGACAGAACAAAUAUUAAUAAAAUAAUGUUUGUGGGAGUAGCAUCGCAUUCCAAAAAGAGUCAAAGUCAUUAAACGUAAUCCAAAAUGCAAUAUAAACUUGGAUUUUUUUCGCUUUAUCUGUUAUUUAUUAUUUUUAUUAGACGGUUCUAGAAACUAUUUUUCUUUUAACGCGAUUUGCAUCUCUGCAUCAGAUGCAAUCUUUUAAUGUUUCAUAUGGGUUCGAGGCAAGCGCAAAUCCACGACCGCUUAUUUACGCGCGAAAUUUUUGCGCAAUGUUCUCGCGUGUUACAAGAAAACAGUGGAGAUACGUAAGUCGGAGGGGAAAAAAAUGAUUUUUUUAGAGCGCGAACCCGGAAUGGCGCCGGCGGUCCGGUUUAAUCUCGACACGCCCAUUACACACGACGUACAUAUUACAUCACGAUCGCACUCGAUAGCAAGCGUAUCUAUACAAGCCCUAUUCCCCCGUGCCUACCUACGAUACGUGUAAGCCGCAAUUAAAAUUCAAGAAAAAUUCUCGGAAACCUGUUUCGAGACUGAGCGAAAUAUUUCGCUGCGAGGUGGUCACGCAGGAACGCCAGUCACGGAUGAUCUCGUUUAAUUGCCCUUAGCCAUUAGAUACUCCCCCCUCCCCCUCUCGAUAUUUUUAUCGUCUGACAUGUCCGACGUUCUUCGUUAGUGAUCAAUUAUUCCGCGCGAAAUUAGGAUAAUUUUCGACACCUUGUUACAAGCAGAAAAAUAUUUUUCUCUUGUUAAGAGAAGCGUUCCUACUCAAUUUAUAUUUCUUCUUCUCGUAAGCAUCGAUUAUUUCUAACAAAGAAUAUUUUCUUGCAGAUAAUUGUCUUCAAAUAUGUGUAUAUAUAUGAUUAAUAUUUUUCUGUGCAGAAGUAGACUCCUGGCCAUUCAAGGAAACAACUUCAGCUACGAUUUAUAUUAUAAUAGAUGUACCUAUAUUUUCUUAUCAUUGAUAUAAUUUAGCCAAAGCUUAUAGUUAUAACAAAGAAGAAUUUAAUAAUGUUAUAUUUGUAUGACACAUUUUUAUAAUUUUAUAUUUAUUAAUAAAUAUAUCUCAAUAACGAAAUUAUAA